GGAUAUGAGUGCCAUCUGGUUGUGACAUAUGUCACCCCAUUGAUCACCAGGGUUGAUUUGGCUAGUCUGACUGUCUUAGGCGGGUGUCCCCUUCCUCCCUUACUGUUUCACAUGCAUCUCUCCUGCAGCUACAUACUGGGUUGGAGAGGAUGACCUUCCCAGCUAGAGGAGAGUCAAGUGUAUAUAAGUAGCCAUGCUCCCGUUCUAGAACCUCCAAACAAGCUCACAAGGUCCGUUUGUAAGAAAACAUAGGGUAGUCAAGUUUCUGAGACUCCAGACACAUCCAAAUGAGGCGCCUCAUGUGCCAGUCUGCCUUUCUUU
Pteropus vampyrus (large flying fox) is the source of this 321-nucleotide unclassified non-coding RNA. Its record names the gene 7SK. It matches the Rfam family "7SK RNA". From Rfam's summary of the family: 7SK was discovered as an abundant small nuclear RNA in the mid-70s but a possible function has only recently been suggested. Two independent studies have found that 7SK RNA binds the CDK9/cyclin T complex (known as elongation factor P-TEFb). NCBI's taxonomy places the organism in Eukaryota, Metazoa, Chordata, Mammalia, Chiroptera, Pteropodidae. The record is from Ensembl.